CCUACGUGUGGCAGCAGUGGGGAAUAUUGGGCAAUGGGCGCAAGCCUGACCCAGCAACGCCGCGUGAAGGAAGAAGGCUUUCGGGUUGUAAACUUCUUUUAUCAGAGACGAAGCAAGUGACGGUACCUGAUGAAUAAGCCACGGCUAACUACGUGCCAGCAGCCGCGGUAAUACGUAGGUGGCAAGCGUUAUCCGGAUUUACUGGGUGUAAAGGACGUGUAGGCGGGAGGUGAAGUCAGAUGUGAAAACUAUGGGCUCAACCCAUAGUCUGCAUUUGAAACUGUACUGCUUGAGUUCUGGAGAGGCAAGUGGAAGUCCAUGGGUAGCGGUGAAAGGCGUAGAUAUACGGAGGAACACCAGUGGCGAAGGCGGAUUGCUGGACAGUAACUGACGCUGAGGCGCGAAAGCGUGGGGAGCAAACAGGAUUAGAUACCCGAGUAGUC
RNAcentral lists this ribosomal RNA (443 nucleotides) under uncultured bacterium. RNAcentral's name for it is "partial 16S ribosomal RNA". It matches the Rfam family "Bacterial small subunit ribosomal RNA", at positions 338 to 795 of the family's 1533-position model. The record is from RNAcentral.